Culex pipiens (northern house mosquito) is the source of this 46-nucleotide regulatory RNA element. It matches the Rfam family "Histone 3' UTR stem-loop". Rfam says of the family: The mRNAs of metazoan histone genes lack a poly-A tail. NCBI's taxonomy places the organism in Eukaryota, Metazoa, Arthropoda, Insecta, Diptera, Culicidae. The record is from Rfam.
UAAACGGCCCUUUUCAGGGCCAACAAAACAAUCACGAAAGAGUUAU